Molecule: ribosomal RNA, 323 nt
Filed under: uncultured eukaryote
Lineage: Eukaryota
Description: partial 18S ribosomal RNA
Rfam family: Eukaryotic small subunit ribosomal RNA
Source: RNAcentral
CCCUUAGAUGUUCUGGGCCGCACGCGCGCUACACUGAUACAUGCAACGAGUUUAUAACCUUGAUCUGACGGUCUGGGUAAUCUUCAAACUGUAUCGUGUUAGGGAUCGAUUCUUGCAAUUUUUAAUCGUAAACGAGGAAUUCCUAGUAAACGCAAGUCAUCAGCUUCCAUUGAUUACGUCCCUGCCCUUUGUACACACCGCCCGUCGACUCUACCGAUUGAAUGGUUCGGUGAAAACUUUGGACUGUGGCAUUGUCCUUCAUUGGACUUCGCCGUAGGAAAUUGUUUAAACCUCAUCAUUUAGAGGAAGAAUAAGUCGUAACA